AUGAACACUUCUCCAGCGAUAGUGACUGUGAUGCUUCUGUUCAUACUUGCAAGGACUCAUGGAUACUCAGUGACCCAGAAAAAAGAUCAAGUGACUCUCUCAGAAGACGACUUCCUAUUUAUAAACUGCACUUAUUCAACCACAGGGUACCCAACUCUAUUCUGGUAUGUCCAGUAUCCUGGAAAAGGUCUGGAGCUGCUUUUGAAAGUCACAACAGCCAACAACAAGGGAAGCAACAGAGGUUUUGAAGCUACAUAUGAUAAAGAAUCCACUUCCUUCCACUUACAGAAAGCUGCUAUCAAAGAGUCAGAUUCGGCUGUGUACUACUGUGCUCUGAGUGACACAGUGACACAAACUGCAGGGGGAGCUGAGCACAAACCCAGAGUAGCAAAAGAAAGUCUGGCUUCUGAUCAUCAUGGAAACAAUAAAGUCCUCAGUUGCCUUGAUCUUCAUAUACAAGUCAUUGACUUCAUAUUGUUGCAUGUUGCCUCUGGCUCAAGUUAUUCACAGAGAGCAAAAUACGCCAGAAAGGGUGGCAUCUAG
Non-coding RNA from Chionomys nivalis (European snow vole), 543 nucleotides. The record is from the annotation of a RefSeq genome assembly. NCBI's taxonomy places the organism in Eukaryota, Metazoa, Chordata, Mammalia, Rodentia, Cricetidae.